This 401-nucleotide unclassified non-coding RNA is filed under the name fungal sp. RNAcentral's name for it is "partial internal transcribed spacer region". The stretch from base 1 to 46 matches the Rfam family "Eukaryotic small subunit ribosomal RNA", at positions 1786 to 1831 of the family's 1831-position model. The record is from RNAcentral. Lineage: Eukaryota; Fungi.
AAGUCGUAACAAGGUUUCCGUAGGUGAACCUGCGGAAGGAUCAUUUCCAAUAAUUGAAAAAAACACAAACAUUUGAACACCUUUAUUGGUGUGUGAAUUGUUUUGGGUACUCUUAUUUCUCUCAAAAGGGAUGUGGAAUUUGGAAUUUGGAUUUUGGAACUUGUUUUCCAUCUUCCUAUUCUCUAUUCUCACUCUCCCUUAGAGAGGCCUUGAUGAACCACUAAAAGGGGUCGUUUUGUGGAAAAAUAGCUGUGAAUAUGUAUUUAUUCACUUCUAUCGACCAUGAUUCUCCCUUUUACCAAACGUUAACAAAAAAAGCUCGUCUUAUUUUGUUUUUGCUUUCUUCUUUGUAAGAAACAAUAAAUGAUUGACAACUUUUAACGGUGGAUCUCUUGGCUCGU